Transfer RNA from Apaloderma vittatum (bar-tailed trogon), 74 nucleotides. It matches the Rfam family "tRNA". From Rfam's summary of the family: Transfer RNA (tRNA) molecules are approximately 80 nucleotides in length. Their secondary structure includes four short double-helical elements and three loops (D, anti-codon, and T loops). The record is from Rfam. Lineage: Eukaryota; Metazoa; Chordata; Aves; Trogoniformes; Trogonidae.
AGGCCGGUCAGCUCAGUCGGUUGAGCGUGGCGCUAACAACGCUAAGGUCAUGGGUUCAUUUCCCGUUCGGUCCC